This 29-nucleotide small RNA is filed under the name Bombyx mori (domestic silkworm). Its description in RNAcentral is "ovarian small RNA-9548". The record is from RNAcentral. Lineage: Eukaryota; Metazoa; Arthropoda; Insecta; Lepidoptera; Bombycidae.
UUCCACUUUCGGGUAGCGACAUGGUCAGC